RNAcentral lists this ribosomal RNA (380 nucleotides) under uncultured eukaryote. RNAcentral's name for it is "partial 18S ribosomal RNA". It matches the Rfam family "Eukaryotic small subunit ribosomal RNA", at positions 592 to 976 of the family's 1831-position model. The record is from RNAcentral.
CAAUAGCGUAUAUUAAAGUUGUUGCAGUUAGAACGCUCGUAGUCGGAUUUCGGGGCGGGCCGACCGGUCUGCCGAUGGGUAUGCACUGGUCGGCGCGUCCUUCCUUCCGGAGACCGUCCCUACUCUUAACUGAGCGGGGGCGGGAGACGGGACUUUUACUUUGAAAAAAUCAGAGUGUUUCAAGCAGGCAGCUCGCUCUUGCAUGGAUUAGCAUGGGAUAAUGAAAUAGGACUUUGGUGCUAUUUUGUUGGUUUCGAACACCGAAGUAAUGAUGAGAAGGGACAGUCAGGGGCACUCGUAUUCCGCCGAGAGAGGUGAAAUUCUCAGACCAGCGGAAGACGAACCACUGCGAAANCANNNGCCAGGGAUGUUUUCACNGG